Molecule: ribosomal RNA, 480 nt
Filed under: uncultured bacterium
Lineage: Bacteria
Description: partial 16S ribosomal RNA
Rfam family: Bacterial small subunit ribosomal RNA
Source: RNAcentral
GACGAACGCUGGCGGCGUGCCUAACACAUGCAAGUCGAGCGAGUGGAUCUCCUUCGGGAGUGAAGCUAGCGGCGGACGGGUGAGUAACACGUGGGCAACCUGCCUCAUAGAGGGGAAUAGCCUUUCGAAAGGAAGAUUAAUACCGCAUAAGAUUGUAGCUUCGCAUGAAGUAGCAAUUAAAGGAGCAAUCCGCUAUGAGAUGGGCCCGCGGCGCAUUAGCUAGUUGGUGAGGUAACGGCUCACCAAGGCGACGAUGCGUAGCCGACCUGAGAGGGUGAUCGGCCACAUUGGGACCGAGACACGGCCCAGACUCCUACGGGAGGCAGCAGUGGGGAAUAUUGCACAAUGGGGGAAACCCUGAUGCAGCAACGCCGCGUGAGUGAUGACGGCCUUCGGGUUGUAAAGCUCUGUCUUCAGGGACGAUAAUGACGGUACCUGAGGAGGAAGCCACGGCUAACUACGUGCCAGCAGCCGCCGUAA